Molecule: ribosomal RNA, 253 nt
Filed under: uncultured bacterium
Lineage: Bacteria
Description: partial 16S ribosomal RNA
Rfam family: Bacterial small subunit ribosomal RNA
Source: RNAcentral
UACGGAGGGUGCAAGCGUUAUCCGGAUUCACUGGGUUUAAAGGGUGCGUAGGCGGACAGGUAAGUCAGUGGUGAAAUCUCCGAGCUUAACUCGGAAACUGCCGUUGAUACUAUUUGUCUUGAAUAUUGUGGAGGUAAGCGGAACAUGUCAUGUAGCGGUGAAAUGCUUAGAUAUGACAUAGAACACCAAUUGCGAAGGCAGCUUACUACACAAUUAUUGACGCUGAGGCACGAAAGCGUGGGGAUCGAACAGG